Notechis scutatus (mainland tiger snake) is the source of this 956-nucleotide non-coding RNA. NCBI's taxonomy places the organism in Eukaryota, Metazoa, Chordata, Lepidosauria, Squamata, Elapidae. The record is from RefSeq and is a predicted model, not a curated record.
UCAGGUUUCCGCGGCGGCCGAGCGCCCGGUGGGCUCGUCCCUGCGCGGGCUUCUCCUGGAGCGCUGAGUCGGGGCUUGGCGGAGAAGCGCGGCUCCAGACCCCCCCCUUUCCCACUCCCCCGCUGGACCGGCCCGUGGAUUCGGAGCUUGCGCUGCGUCUCCGUCGCCUUUUGGAACGGGCGUCCCACGUCGCUUCUCCGAGCCUCCCUUUUGGAUGCGACUCAUGUUUCUGGAUCAACUUCCUCUUGCUCAUCACUUGGCAGACCCUUGCAGAAAUCAGUGAAGAGGAAGCUGAAGGUGGAUUUUGAAAGGUUGAGUUAAGCCCUGGGCAAAAAUCAUUUUUAAAAAAGAAGCACAAACACCAUUAGAGCCACUGAAGAUCAAUUUUGCUAGAGAAUGGAUUUACAGAUUUCUCCAUGGAGCUUCUGUCAGUGACACAUCCUGGCCUACUGACUGGCAGUUGCUCAGAGAAAUGAGUAGAAGCCAUCAUUUUCCGAACAAAGGAAGUUUGCCUUUAAAUCAAGAAAGGUGAGUGGUAACCUCUUCCAAGGUCUCUGAACAUCAAAGUGGAAGAGCAGGAAGAGAGAACUGCACGCACAUGCUCACCAAGACAAAGCUGCAGCCUGCCGUCUCUGUGUGUAUUUUUCCCUCCCUCCCCAAGCCAAGGAAAGACACAGAAGACGGAUGGUUGCAAGACGAACAUAGGAACCUCAAGGUUUGCAUGAGAAAAGAACAGGAGGCACUUCCUGGGCUGCUUCUUGUCCUUUGAAGACUUGCCACAGUCAACGGCACUGCCAUGGCUCGGUUUAAAGCUUCAGCAGCACAAUUCGCAAGGAAAAUAUUUGGACUGCAACUUUUGGACCGUUUUCCUGCUUUGAAGUAGUUUGUCAUGCUUUACCAGUGUGAACUCUGUUGACCCACAUCCCCCCCCCCCCCCCCCCCCCCCCUCCCCCCUC